UUUUUGAGACAGGGUCUUGCUAAAUUAUCAAGGCGGGCCUUGAAUUUGUGAUCCUCUUGCCUCAGCCUCAAAUAGUUUGGAUUCCAGGGGUCUGACACUAGGCCUGACUGCUCCUAUCUUUGUGUUUUUCAAAACCUUUCUUUUCAGGUAGGGGGGUUCAGUUGGGUACCAAAAUAUGUAGCCAAAUUUGUCUGGGCUGACUUAUCUGGGUUAAAACAUCCAAAGUAAUUCUCCAUUUGUUAUCCUUCUUAAAACGCUUUGUUAAAAGUCAUCAGUAGGUGGAUAAAAUUGCUUAACACGGUGAAAACUCUAAUUCAGAAUAAUUAUCUGAGAGAUUCAAAUGAAUAAAAGUUUGACUUAUGAAGUUCUUUUUGAGAUCUAUGAGUUUGUAUUUUAAAGCUCUCCUGGAAUAUGAGCUGAUUCUCAUGCAUUUCCAAGGAGAGUUCCUUUUGAACCUAUUUUAACAAACAGAUAAAGAUCAUUUUUAAUUAGUUCAUCAUUCAUAUGCAAAUAAAUGCUGUUAUGGAAUUUCGAGAGUGCUUGAAAGUGCUUCCCAAGGAAGCUAAUAGUUCCCUCUGGAUUUUAUUUUUUCAUUAAUAAUUUAUUUAGCAAACAUUUUCUUCCUAAAAAGUACAGAGGUCGUGAUCUUUCCAUGCUAGAAUUAGCCCAACAUUUUAGAUACUCGAUUUAUUUCAUGAGAUAUUACUAGAAUUUUUAUCAUGACUUUUAUCACAGAAGAAUCGUAACUAUGUCAUGUAUUUAAACCUUGUGGAAAAAAGUCCAGACGGCAGUUCCUUAUGGUUUGAUUUUAGCUAUUUCUAGGACAUUCAUUUUAACAUAAAACAGAAUUCUGGAAAAUGUGGGUUUUGUGUUGAUUUAUCUAAUGAGUAUUUAUCUGUUUCUUCUUCCUCUUGAGCAACAU
RNAcentral lists this long non-coding RNA (922 nucleotides) under Marmota monax (woodchuck). Lineage: Eukaryota; Metazoa; Chordata; Mammalia; Rodentia; Sciuridae. The record is from RNAcentral.